AACAUGUUUUUCAUGAAGGUGAAAAUCAAGUGCCAAUUGAGACAGAACCCGCUUCUGCAUAUCUUUCUGAUAACAGAGUUAAUAUGACAUAUUUUGCAUGCCAACAUAGAUCUUUUGGGCAAUAUGUUUUUGCCAAAAAAAUCUGGAAAUUUAGAGCUGACUGAAGGGACUACAGUUUGCAACAAUACAUCAGCCGAUAGUUUAAUUGGUGGGUCAGUUAUUUCGUACUUGCUUUUGGUUAACAAGAGCUUCCCAAUCAACUGUGCGUUUAGCCAAUUAAAAGGGACAAGUAAGUUUACCUCAUUACACUUCUUAGUAUAUGAUGUCACUGUCAUGAUUUUUGUCCUAAUGCGAUACUGUAAGGACCAAUAACAGCUUUGGUUUGCAAUUUCCUUCAUUGUCAAGUUAUUGAUCAGUAAGUUUUGUUCAUCCCCUGGUAUAGUGUAUGAUGAUGUUCACUGUCAUAAUUAUCCCUUAUGUUUGUUUCAUUAUCUUUAAUUAAUUUUAUACAGAAGGCAAACAUACAUAUGCAAAGGAACAUUUCAUUAUGUUUUCUUCAAAAGA
Argentina anserina (silverweed cinquefoil) is the source of this 564-nucleotide long non-coding RNA. RefSeq lists it as uncharacterized. The record is from RefSeq and is a predicted model, not a curated record. NCBI's taxonomy places the organism in Eukaryota, Viridiplantae, Streptophyta, Magnoliopsida, Rosales, Rosaceae. The transcript has 3 exons.